RNAcentral lists this ribosomal RNA (126 nucleotides) under Aotus nancymaae (Ma's night monkey). The record is from RNAcentral. Lineage: Eukaryota; Metazoa; Chordata; Mammalia; Primates; Aotidae.
GUCUAUGGCCAUACCACCCUCAACGCGCCCAAUCUCGUCUGAUCUCGGGAGCUAAGCAGGGUCGGGCCUGGUUAGUACUUGGAUGGGAGUGUUUUUAUCUUUUGUAUAGACAGGAUCUCACUGUGC